ACUUUUUUUUUUUAAUACUGGUUAAACCUUAGAAGUCUGGCCCUUGGUAGCCAUAUUACUGAAGUCUCUAUUAUAAAAACUUAAAUAUCUGGAAAAGUUUCCAAAAACCUUGUUUCCAUGAGUAUAUUACUUUGGCAGAGACCUGGAUGGUGUUUAUUCUUUGGGAUACUGUGUGUGUGUGUAUGUGUGUGUGUACAUACACACACUCAUGCAUGUGUGUGCUCGUGUGCUUGUAUUUUGAAAUUGUUGCACUUGAAAAUCACAGCUGCUCUAAAUUCUUAAACACUGGACAGCCAUCCUUUGGUUUUAAAUGGUGGAGGGUUAGUAGAAGCAUACAAUGCUGGUUUUAGCCCAAGGGCCCUUUAAAGCCAUUGGAUAGUAACCGGUUCUUACUAGCCAACUCAAAAAUUCUUUUGUUGACUGAAUGUCUCUUUUAGUAGGGUUUGUUCCUGAAAGAGAAUACUAUUUUGUUGUUGUUGUUGUUCUUUCAACUUUGGCUUGGGUGACUUGCUCUCUCCUGAGCACUCUCAUGUCUUUAGUUGUAGGGGAAAAGAUGAUGGAAGUGAAGGGAACUGGACUUGAUGUUUAUGGUUUGAGAGAGGAGAAAUUAAGUUUUAAUUAAGAACUAACUUUCUACCUCUAAACUGAGGCUUAGGAGUAAAGAAAAAAAAUUAUCUUAAAUUUAUCAUUUCAAUUUCAUUUCAAAUAGCAUCAGUAACUUUUGAGCUCAUGUCAAGCAUUGGGCAGUUAGAGAUUUUUAUAGACAGGACUAAAUAAAUCCAGUUCCUAAGAACCCAGGCUGAAUGAGGCUCCAAGAAUCAGACCAACAUGUUUUAUUCUGUGUUGAGUUUACUGGUAAGAAUAUUAUUAUUCUUGAUACUACCUCUCAAAGGUAUUGUUACAAAAUGCCACUUAUUAACUGAACGUUAAAGAGAUAGAUACAAAGAGUUAUAUUUGAAAGAAGCUUGAUGAAACUCUGGCAUCUAUCUGCCCAACAAUGGGGGCUUUCACUCUGUAAUUUAAUAUUUUGUAGAUACAUUAUUUGUGUGUAAUUUUAUAAGUGUUCAUAUUUUUCUCAUUUUGCAUUGUGUAAAGUGUACAAAAUCUCAAAGUAUAAAAUACUGCUUAUAUUGCUUGUAAUUAUAGUGUGUAAAUAUUUUCUAAUUGUGUACAUUGACGGGGUGGGGGACAAGUGGGUUAUUCAGGUUUUUUUUUAAGUGACCCUUUUGUAUUGCAGUUUCAACAGAUAACUGCCCAUCAAAUUUAAAACCACUUUGAUACAUUUUUAUUUAGCAGUUCCAAUAAGAAAAAUCUCUAUUUUUAAUUGUCUUUCUCCAUUAAAAGAAAACUAUUUCAUCUGUCCCUUUAAAAUAAAUGGCCAGACAUCAGUUUAGGCCCUUUUAUUUAUGACUCUGGUAGACAUCUUCAGUCUCCAGGUUAUAGUCCAGUCAGCAUUUGCAUUUGGGUUCUCAGAAAUUUUGUGAUUCUGUUUUAGCACAAGUAGCCCAUGGUUUUUCUCCCAAAUAAAGUAUUUUCCUUCACCCUCUUGAGUCCCCAUGCUUUGUCUCCCUCCUCUUGUUGCCCAGUGAAUGGGAUGUUAGAGAGGGAGAAAAUGUUCAUUGCACAGAGAAUGUCAGGCUGCUUUUGGGACUUGGCAAACAAAGCUUGCACUGAGUGGUGGUGUGUUUGGCAAUAUUACUGUGCCAAAAUUCACCUUGUUUAAUUAUCUGGAUAUAUAUAUGUCAAACUUAUUACCCUUAUUGCAAGCUGAAAAUUAAGAUACUUGUGUUUAUGCUUUUGUGUGUAACCAUUUGCCUUUUCUAACCUGCUUUUCUUGUUAGCUGAAAAUAUAGUUCUGUUAGUUAAGUGAAGAGGCUCAUGCAGAAAACACAUCUACGUAGCAGUAAAGUAACAGCAUUUGUACUUUUGCUGUCUGUCUCCUGAUGGCAGUGGUGCCUUUGUCACCUUUGGAAGGUUGGCGCUUUGUUUUCGUUUUGAAAUGCAAGUAGUAGCUUGCUUUUUACUUCACAAAAUCUCCCCAGAUGUAAAAGAUAGGUAAUGGCAUGUUAUCAUCCAGACUUAGUUGGAGCAUUUGCAUUUUUAUUUUUAUUAAAACAGAUUAUAGUUGGUGAGGACUGGCCACUAAUAAUGUGUAGGGUCUUUAAGAAUAAUUUUUAAAUUAAAGAAAUAAUAAAAUUUUUGAGAAGUGACCCAUUAACAAGUGACUUGAGUUGGAGAAUUAGAAGUUGACUCUUCUGGUUUGUCUCUGAGGGGGCAAGAAUAGGUACAGGUGGCUGGCCAUGUAGAGCAGUUAAGCAUGAUCUUGGUGGUUAUUUCUCACUCAUCAGCAGUGUUGGUGCACCUCAUUAUCUGUGCAUUUGUUUUCUUAAGAGUCGUGUCAGCCAGUGAGUCCACCAGUUCUUAGGUAGUAAAUGCAGAUUUCCCUUUUUUCGUUCAUUUUUUUUUCUUUUUAAGAUUUUAUACUACAUCUUGUUUAAAGUCCUAUGAAUGUAUGUGUGUGUUAUUAAAACUGCUUUUUCUCAGUUUGAACAUGUGUUUGGUAAUAUUUGUUUGGGGUUGGUAUCUGGAAUUCCCUGUUGAUUCCCUUACUCAUCC
Molecule: long non-coding RNA, 2616 nt
Filed under: Marmota monax (woodchuck)
Lineage: Eukaryota; Metazoa; Chordata; Mammalia; Rodentia; Sciuridae
Source: RNAcentral